UCAAGCUACAGAGGGCGCACGGUGGAUGCCUUGGCGCUAAGGGCCGAUGAAGGACGCUGUCGGCGGCGAAAGGGCCGGGGAGGUGCCUAACAACCUUCGAUCCGGUCGUGUCCGAAUGGGGGAACCCCCCGCGGGUCAUACCGCGGGACCCACCGCUGAAUUCAUAGGCGGUGUGGAGGGCACCCUGGGAACUGAAACAUCUCAGUACCAGGUGGAAGAGAAAUCAAACGAGAUUCCCCUAGUAGUGGCGAGCGAACGGGGAAGAGCCCAAACCGCGCGGGCGUGAUAGCCCGCGGGCGUUGUCCGCGCGGGGUUGUAGAACGUUACCGGGCCGGGCUGCGGACCGGCCGGGAAGUGAGCAAUCCUCGGUGUAGCCGAACUGCCCUGGAACGGCAGGCGAUACAGGGUGACAGCCCCGUAGGCAAAACAGCGAGGACUUCCUGGGUGGCGUUUCUGAGUACUACGGGACACGUGGAAUCCCGUGGGAAACUGGGAGGACCACCUUCCAAGGCUAAAUACCCUUGGCGACCGAUAGUGCACGAGUACCGUGAGGGAAAGGUGAAAAGAACCCCGGGAGGGGAGUGAAAUAGAACCUGAAACCGUGUGCCCACAACCAGUCGGAGGGCUAUGCCGAUCCGCAAGGAUCGGAAUGCCUGACGGCAUGCCUAUUGAAGAAUGAGCCGGCGAGUUGUCGCGUGUGGCGAGCUGAAGGCCAUCAUGGCCGAAGGCGUAGGGAAACCGAGUCUGAAUAGGGCGACCAGUCGCACGCGGCAGACCCGAAACCGGGUGAUCUACCCCUGGCCAGGGUGAAGCGGAGUUAACCCUUCGUGGAGGCCCGAACCUAUUGGUGUUGAAAAACCAUGGGAUGAGUUGGGGGUAGGGGUGAUAUGCCAAUCGAACCCGGAGAUAGCUGGUUCUCCCCGAAAGGCAUUUAGGUGCCGCCUCGGUGCCGAGCCGUGUGGUGGUAGAGCUCUGGAUGGGCUAGGGCGGGAGAUCCCGUACCGAACCCAACCAAACUGCGAAUGCCAUGCGGUGCUCACCGGGAGUGAGUCCGUGGGGGAUAAGCCUCAUGGUCAAGAGGGAAACAGCCCAGACCGCCAGCUAAGGUCCCGGAAUGGUGGCUAAGUGGGAAAGGAAGUGGCAUCGCUCAGACAGCCAGGAGGUUGGCUUAGAAGCAGCCAUCCUUCAAAGAGUGCGUAACAGCUCACUGGUCGAGUGGUGCUGCGCCGAAGAUUCAGCGGGGCUCAAGCCAUCUACCGACGCUGCGGAUCCGGCGCGGGUAUCGUCCCGCGCCGGGUGGUAGGGGAGCGUUCCGCGAUAGGUGAAGGCAGACCGUAAGGACUGCCGGACGAAGCGGAAGUGCGUCUGCCGGCAUGAGUAGCGAAAAGACAGGUGAGAAUCCUGUCCGCCGUAAGGCCAAGGCUUCUUACGGAAGGCUCGUCCGCGUAAGGUUAGGCGGGACCUAAGGUGAGGCCGAAAGGCGUAGCCGAUGGACAGCCGGUUGAUAUUCCGGCCCCGCUCUGCAUCCGUUACGAGCCAAGAGGGGACGCAGGAGGGUAGGCCUACCGGGGGUUGGUUGUCCCGGGUUAAGCGGGUAGGCGGGAGGUCCAGGGAAAUCCGGAUCUCCAUUCAACGCCGAGACGCGAAUACGAGCCCGAGCGCAAGCAAAGGCGAAGUGGCUCAGCCCACACUGACAAGAAAAACCUCGUGGCCAGGGUGCAGGGCGCCCGUACCGCAAACCGACACAGGUGGCCCGGCACGAAAAGUGCCAAGGCGCGCGAGAGAACUCUCGUCAAGGAACUCGGCAAAAUGACCCCGUAACCUCGGGAGAAGGGGUGCCUCCGUAGGGUGACUGCGUACAGCGGAAGCCCGAAGAGGUCGCAGAUAAUAGGCUCAGCCGACUGUUUAACAAAAACACAGGUCUCUGCUAAGCCGCAAGGCGACGUAUAGGGGCUGACGCCUGCCCAGUGCCGGAAGGUUAAAGGGAGGGGUUAGCCGCAAGGCGAGGCUCCGAACUGAAGCCCCGGUGAACGGCGGCUGUAACUAUAACAGUCCUAAGGUAGCGAAGUUCCUUGUCGGGUAAGUUCCGACCUGCACGAAUGGCGUAACGAGCUGAGCGCUGUCUCGACGAGAGACUCGGCGAAGUUGUGCGACCCGUGAAGACACGGGUUACCCGCAGCUGGACGGAAAGACCCCAUGAAGCUUUACUGUAGCUUGCCAUUGGAUUUGGUCUCACCAUGCAGAGGAUAGGUGGGAGGCUGAGAAGCCGGGGCUCUGGCCUCGGUGGAGCCAACCUUGGAAUACCACCCUUGGCAAGAUUAAGUCCUAACCGGGGACCUGACCGGUUCUCGGGACAGUGGCAGGUGGGCAGUUUGACUGGGGCGGUCGCCUCCCAAAUGGUAACGGAGGCGCCCAAAGGUUCCCUCAGCACGGUUGGAAACCGUGCGGCGAGUGCAAGGGCAUAAGGGAGCUUGACUGUGAGGCUCACAAGCCGAUCAGGGCGGAAACGCGGGCCUAGUGAUCCUACGGUGGCAAGUGGAAGCGCCGUGGCUUAACGGAUAAAAGCUACUCUGGGGAUAACAGGCUGAUCUCCCCCAAUAGUCCACAUAGACGGGGAGGUUUGGCACCUCGAUGUCGGCUCAUCGCAUCCUGGGGCUGCAGUAGGUCCCAAGGGUUGGGCUGUUCGCCCAUUAAAGCGGUACGUGAGCUGGGUUCAGAACGUCGUGAGACAGUUCGGUCCCUAUCCACUGCGGGCGUAGGUGGCUUGAGGGGAUCUGCUCCUAGUACGAGAGGACCGGAGUGGACGGACCUCUGGUGUACCGGUUGUCCUGCCAAGGGCAAGUGCCGGGUACCUAUGUCCGGACGGGAUAAGCGCUGAAAGCAUCUAAGCGCGAAACCCACCCCAAGAUGAGGCCACCCACCGGGUUAACCGGGUAAGCCCCCAGGUAGACUACCUGGUUGAUAGGCCGGGGGUGUAAGCGCCGCAAGGCGUUGAGCUGACCGGUACUAAUCGGGCGAGGGCUUGAUCAC
This 3030-nucleotide ribosomal RNA is filed under the name Candidatus Segetimicrobium genomatis. RNAcentral's name for it is "Terrabacteria group bacterium ANGP1 23S ribosomal RNA". It matches the Rfam family "Bacterial large subunit ribosomal RNA". The record is from RNAcentral. Lineage: Bacteria; Bacillati; Candidatus Sysuimicrobiota; Candidatus Sysuimicrobiia; Candidatus Sysuimicrobiales; Candidatus Segetimicrobiaceae.